UACGUAGGGUGCGAGCGUUGUCCGGAAUUAUUGGGCGUAAAGGGCUCGUAGGCGGUUUGUCGCGUCGGGAGUGAAAACCAUGGGCUUAACUCAUGGCUUGCUUUCGAUACGGGCAGACUAGAGGUAUGCAGGGGAGAACGGAAUUCCUGGUGUAGCGGUGAAAUGCGCAGAUAUCAGGAGGAACACCGGUGGCGAAGGCGGAUCUCUGGGCCGUAACUGACGCUGAGGAGCGAAAGCGUGGGGAGCGAACAGG
RNAcentral lists this ribosomal RNA (253 nucleotides) under uncultured bacterium. RNAcentral's name for it is "partial 16S ribosomal RNA". It matches the Rfam family "Bacterial small subunit ribosomal RNA", at positions 524 to 776 of the family's 1533-position model. The record is from RNAcentral.